This 671-nucleotide ribosomal RNA is filed under the name uncultured forest soil bacterium. RNAcentral describes it as "bacterial SSU rRNA". It matches the Rfam family "Bacterial small subunit ribosomal RNA", at positions 64 to 767 of the family's 1533-position model. The record is from RNAcentral.
GAACGAGAAAGUGGAGCAAUCCAUGAGUAAAGUGGCGCACGGGUGAGUAACACGUGACUAACCUACCCUGGAGUGGGGGAUAACUGAGGGAAACCUUAGCUAAUACCGCAUAACACCUACGGGUCAAAGGAGCAAUUCGCUUUGGGAGGGGGUCGCGGCCGAUUAGUUAGUUGGCGGGGUAACGGCCCACCAAGACGAUGAUCGGUAUCCGGCCUGAGAGGGCGCACGGACACACUGGAACUGAAACACGGUCCAGACUCCUACGGGAGGCAGCAGUGGGGAAUUUUGCGCAAUGGGGGAAACCCUGACGCAGCAACGCCGCGUGGAGGAUGAAGUCCUUCGGGACGUAAACUCCUUUCGAUCGGGACGAUUAUGACGGUACCGGAAGAAGAAGCCCCGGCUAACUUCGUGCCAGCAGCCGCGGUAAUACGAGGGGGGCGAGCGUUGUUCGGAAUUAUUGGGCGUAAAGGGUGCGUAGGCGGUUUGGUAAGUCUUAUGUGAAAUCUAUGGGCUCAACUCAUAGACUGCAUGAGAAACUGCCGGGCUUGAGUGUGGGAGAGGUGAGUGGAAUUUCCGGUGUAGCGGUGAAAUGCGUAGAUAUCGGAAGGAACACCUGUGGCGAAAGCGGCUCACUGGACCACAACUGACGCUGAUGCACGAAAGCUAGGAGA